RNAcentral lists this transfer RNA (82 nucleotides) under Candidatus Hydrogenedentota bacterium. Its description in RNAcentral is "Candidatus Hydrogenedentes bacterium tRNA-Leu". It matches the Rfam family "tRNA". From Rfam's summary of the family: Transfer RNA (tRNA) molecules are approximately 80 nucleotides in length. Their secondary structure includes four short double-helical elements and three loops (D, anti-codon, and T loops). Further hydrogen bonds mediate the characteristic L-shaped molecular structure. tRNAs have two regions of fundamental functional importance: the anti-codon, which is responsible for specific mRNA codon recognition, and the 3' end, to which the tRNAs corresponding amino acid is attached (by aminoacyl-tRNA synthetases). tRNAs cope with the degeneracy of the genetic code in two manners: having more than one tRNA (with a specific anti-codon) for a particular amino acid; and 'wobble' base-pairing, i.e. permitting non-standard base-pairing at the 3rd anti-codon position. The record is from RNAcentral. Lineage: Bacteria; Pseudomonadati; Candidatus Hydrogenedentota.
GCGAGAGUGGCGGAACUGGCAGACGCACUGGACUUAGGAUCCAGCGCCUUCGGGCAUGCGGGUUCGAAUCCCGCCUCUCGCA